Molecule: long non-coding RNA, 589 nt
Filed under: Mus spicilegus (steppe mouse)
Lineage: Eukaryota; Metazoa; Chordata; Mammalia; Rodentia; Muridae
Description: lncRNA (ENSMSIG00000005971.1)
Source: RNAcentral
UGAACUUUACCUGUGCUCACAGAAAAGGACAGAAGUUGGUAUUUUUCAGAAGCCCUUGCCUUUGGCUGUAGCUUGAGGUUGAGAGAUGGAGUCCCUCAUUAUCCUCUGGCCCUCUAAAGAAUAUUUCUCUCUCUGAAGUCCAACGCAGAAGUUUUCAAUGCAUUCCGAAGAGGCAUGUGAUAGCAGGGAGACAUUUUGGUGGUGCUUGGCGUUGGCUUUAAAAAGAAGAAUGGAGUAGAACUUUGAACACAUGUUGGAGCCCCACGCUUUUAUCAGUCACAUCUAUAGAUUCAUUUUAUCAACGUCCAAGAAACGUCUUUCCUGCCAGUUUAGGUCGACUGCAGCAUCUACCCCUGAUGCCUACCAUCACACCAGUGUCUUGAUUUCUUGGCCUUGCUCUUCCAAGAAUCAAAUUCCCAAAUAAAUUUCUCAAGAAUGAACUUUUGUCUUAGCAUCUGCUUUUGGGAAAUCUCAGGCCCAGCUACAUCAAACUUACUAUCACUUAUGAAAUGGGUUACCAUUUCAAAAAAAUCAUGUGGUUACAUUAAGAACAAAUGUAAAAUUUUAUAGUAACUUGUUUAUAAGUCUA